AAGGGCACCACAAGAACGCGUGGAGCAUGUGGCUUAAUUUGACUCAACGCGGGAAAUCUUACCGGGUCCGGACACACUGAGGAUUGACAGAUAACAUCAUAUAUUCACUAUACUCGUAUAGUUGAAUAUAUGUAUAAAUAUGCUAGUUCUUUCAUGAUUAUGUGAUAGGUGGUGCAUGGCCGUUCUUAGUUCGUGGAGUGAUCUGUCUGCUUAAUUGCGUUUCACUAUACGGGUCUAUUUAUACAAUCAUGCAAUUACAUAUUGACCGCAUGCUCUGCGUGCCGCGUCUUUUGUAUUGCUGAUUAUUAGACCCUGAAAGCAACGAACGUGACCGCAACCUCUUGUUGCUCUCAUUCCUUGCAUAUAUAUUUUACUCUUUCACAGAGUAUGUAUAUAUAAGAGAGCCUACGUAUAUAUAUCUCAUAGACCGCUAUACACAUUUCACUUUUUUAAGUGUAUGCGUAAUAUGUCUUAAGACGUAUAUAAAACUAGAGGGACCGCUGUUAUCUUCUUUAAACCAGAGGAAGGUUGCGGCAAUAACAGGUCUGUGAUGCCCUUAGAUGUUCCGGGCUGCACACGUGCUACAAUGAUUAUUGCAGUGAGCAUCUCAUUUUUUUAUCCACAUCGCAUGUGCGACUGUGUGUCACUCAUUACUUAUGUUUCGGCAUUGGUGUGCUGUGAUAUACAUGUCUGCACGCGAUUAAGCCUACUUUGAAAGUAAGCGGGUAAUCAAUUAGAAGUAAUGAUUUCCUUUUUUUUCUGCACACAUAUAUAUGGCAUAUAUACCCGGCAUACCUUUGUUGUAUGUUCUUUGUGUGUAUAUAUGACUCUCUUUGUAGAGUUUUUUAUCCAUAUGUGCAUCUGUCAAUUCAUGGUGGGGACAGACCAUUGUUUCAAUUGUUGGUCUCGGUCUUAACUAGGAAUGCCUUGUACGGGUCUUUGGUUCAACAAACCACCCGGAAUACGUCCCUGCCCUUUGUACACACCGCCCGUCGCUCUUACCGAUGGACUUCUCUGUGAGUUUGAGGGACUGUCUAUGCAUAUAUAUUUAUUUAUAUUAUGCAUAUUAGGAAACUUAAACGAACAGUGUGGUCUAAAGGAAAGAGAAGUCGUAACAAGGCAUCAGUAGGUGAACCUGCAGAAGGAUCA
Molecule: ribosomal RNA, 1149 nt
Filed under: Bolivina sp. FF127
Lineage: Eukaryota; Foraminifera; Rotaliida; Bolivinitidae
Description: bacterial SSU rRNA
Rfam family: Eukaryotic small subunit ribosomal RNA
Source: RNAcentral